CACGCCGUCUCGCGGGCCGCUGCUCCGCGGAACGACCUCCUCUUCCUUUAGUAAUCGGGCCGUCAAGGCCCACUUAUUCCCAGUCGGACGCUAACAGCCUAGGUCACCCUCGAACGAACAGCUUCUCCGUGUCGCUGUCCUUCCUCCUCAUGAUGCGCUGGCAUUCCUCCCUCCUCAAUGCACCGUCGAUCCGCCGUGUUCGUGUAUUUAUUUACUUAAUGGUGGCUGCGGCGGCCGCCCCGCCGUGGGCUUUCACCGCCGGCUGUCGCUGGAGGCAAACUACCUAGAUGGUUUCGCGGUGGCGAUGGAGGCGCUAGAUACCUGCUUUCUCGUGUGCCUUCUUGUCGCCUCUGCUCUUCCAAUGAUGCGGAUCCAGGAACAGAGUCCAACCCUCUCCCCUUCUAAUUCUUCCUUCGUGUUCUGCACUUCUUCUGCUUGCUCUUUGACAAACAUCAAAUUAUGUUUUUAUGUCUCAAUGUGUUCGGUUUCAAUUCCCAUGUGAGAAGAUCCUUCUGAGGAAGGCCAGGAAUUGGUACUGAAAUUCUGAAUAUGCAUAGGUACAAAGAACCUUGAAUCUGUCCAGGUGAGCAUGACAUUGAUUCCAGUUCUUGUGAUAUUUGUGUCUAACUUAAUUCAUCUUGGCACCGGUUCAAAAUAAAUAAAUUCAUCUUGGCAUGAUUAUUAUGUGGUUCAAGUGCUAAUCAAGUGAGCUGAGCAUUUAGUUUCUUCGUUGUGCCAUGCUAUUAGGAAUAACAUGUUAUUUUAUCCACCGGUCUCUGAUAAAUGAGAAGUUCAUUCUUUGUUUACACUUGUGACUAAAACACAUUUGGUUUCCUAUUGUAAUUUCUUUUUUCAGAUUUUGGUGUGUUAUUCUUGAAUAUAUUAUGCGCACGAAUUAUUUCUGGAAAUAUUUCCCCCUUUCUCUAGAGUCCAUAUUCACUAUUAAUUUCUGAAAGUCAAUUUUCAUGUUGUUGAGCCCACAAUGCUCCUAAAAGUAUUACAUGCACGUGGAGCGCAGGGUGAGUGCUCAUGUUAGCAAUCUUGUGUUCCUUUUUCAAGAUUUAGGAUUUAGUUUGGUUAAGAAAGCUUGUCGUUGCACUGUAUUAACAUUGCUUGAUCUAUGGUUUUUAAGCUUUUGAGCCCUAGAUCCUCUCUUUGGCAAGUAUUGCAGGCAACCGGUGAAGCCGAAGCCAUUUAUGAAUGCAAGGCAGACAAACUAUUAAAUGCCAUGAAAUUGUAAAGGUAUCUUUCUAUUCCUAGAAUGAUUUGACAAGGCCCAUGUCGACGAUCUAUGCACCAUCACCUACGGCCAGGUUGUCUAAGAAAAACAGUCCAUUAGUUGUGAGAUCUCUUACUGCUAAAAUCAGUGGUCGGCGUGGCAUGAAUAAAAUCCGUAGCAUGACAUUUGGAUCUGACGUUUUUAUGUGUACCUGACACACCUUGAGGAUUAAAGCUGCACUUGAGUCAAUUCGAAUAUUGUAUAGUUGAUCUCUUUAUUGGGAGUUAGAUCCAAAAAAGCUAAGUUAUA
Long non-coding RNA from Triticum aestivum (bread wheat), 1528 nucleotides. RefSeq lists it as uncharacterized. The record is from RefSeq and is a predicted model, not a curated record. The transcript is spliced from 3 exons. Lineage: Eukaryota; Viridiplantae; Streptophyta; Magnoliopsida; Poales; Poaceae.